This 253-nucleotide ribosomal RNA is filed under the name uncultured bacterium. RNAcentral's name for it is "partial 16S ribosomal RNA". It matches the Rfam family "Bacterial small subunit ribosomal RNA", at positions 524 to 776 of the family's 1533-position model. The record is from RNAcentral.
UACGAAGGGGGCGAGCGUUGUUCGGAAUUACUGGGCGUAAAGGGCGCGUAGGCGGUCGGCCGCGUCAGAUGUGAAAGCCCCGGGCUCAACCUGGGAACCGCAUUUGAGACGGGCCGACUCGAGUUCGGGAGAGGAUGGUGGAAUUCCCAGUGUAGAGGUGAAAUUCGUAGAUAUUGGGAAGAACACCGAGGGCGAAGGCAGCCAUCUGGACCGACACUGACGCUGAGGCGCGAAAGCUAGGGGAGCGAACGGG